Molecule: non-coding RNA, 1027 nt
Organism: Ictidomys tridecemlineatus (thirteen-lined ground squirrel)
Lineage: Eukaryota; Metazoa; Chordata; Mammalia; Rodentia; Sciuridae
Source: RefSeq, a predicted model, not a curated record
GGAGCAGAGGGGAUGGGACCUGAGAAGGAAGGGAAGGGCUUGGAGAUGGAAGGUUGCAAGGGGCUGGGAGAAGCUGUGGUAAGUGGACAGUGACAGAGGGGUGACAGGAGAGGGGAGGGGGGUCUGGGAACACAGAAGUGCUAGGGCUGCAGAGGGAGAGACGCUGGGGGUCAGAGGUGGAAGCAGGCACUGAGAUGAGGAAGCCGGGAGUAGACACCUGAGAUGAAGGGGACAGGGAUGGGCGGACAUGGGACAGUGUUGGGGUUGCCUGCCCCAGAGGCAAUGGAAGGCGGGUAAUGGGAAAAGAAGGGAAGGUUGCCGAAGGGACAGAGGGGGACAGAGACAGAUAUGAAAGACAAGGGCAGAAGCAAUGGGACAUGUCAGAGGCAAAGACGACAGAUGGGACAGAGGCAGGUGGGAGGGGGAAGCGACAGACCAGCAAUGGGAAGGUGAAAGUGAGGCAGAGGUGGAGGUAAGACAGAUGGAGAGGUGAUAGGGGCAGGAUGGAGGUGAUGAAGAGGGAGAUGGAAAGGAUGGAGGAACGGGCGUGGAGGCGGUGGGGGACACGGUGGAGACGGCCAACGUGGGGACAGGCGGUGCAGGUGUGUGCCAAGCUGAGCUACCCGGAGGGGAGAGGCCUGACCACAGCAUGGCAGCCAGGCCCCAACUGCCCCUGAGCGGGCUGUCUGGAAGGCUUUGGCAGACACAGAGAACAGCAGGUCAGAAGAGAGAAAUCCGAGGGACAGAGUGGGGACAAAGGUCCCAGGGCUGGCCAUGCCUGAGAACUCCAGGAAGGCGCUGAGGGAGACAUGUUUUCAAAGGGGAAGGCGAACCGGCCUCCUGUCAAGAGCCCCUGUCCCUGGAACAAGUAGGUUUCCCGUGUGGGAUUCAUGAAAAGCCGGCAGUGUGGGGACCGAGGCAAGGGCACUGCGACUACCUCCACGGAUCUACUGUCCCUCCCCAGGCCCCACUCCCUGUGCCUAACGUAGAGAAACACAGUUUUCUUGCGUGUGUUUGCAUGUGUGAG